RNAcentral lists this long non-coding RNA (2514 nucleotides) under Homo sapiens (human). Its description in RNAcentral is "non-protein coding lnc-NAT1-3:24". Lineage: Eukaryota; Metazoa; Chordata; Mammalia; Primates; Hominidae. The record is from RNAcentral.
UGGUGAAACCCUGUCUCUAAAAUUACAAACAUUUUGUCUCUAAAAAUACAAAAAUUAGCUGGGCAUGAAAAAAGAGAAAACAUAAAUGGCUAAUUAACAAAUAAAAUUGUGUUUCACCUCUAAAAAUAAAAAUAAAACAUAAAAAGUCUUCACCAAACAGUUGGCAUCUUUUGCUCUUCUUCCUUCUACCAGAGGAGAACACAGUAAGAAGGCUGCACCAGAGGCUGUGGUCUUGAUCUUGGACUUAACCUCCAAAACUGAGAAAAUAAAUAUCUGUUCUUUAUAAAUCACCCAAUCUCAGGUACUGUUAUAGCAGCACAAAUGGACUAAGACAGUGACUCCCAAAUUUAUGUCACUAGCUCAGACCUGUCCCCUGAAUUUAGAUUCUUAUAUGUAGUUGCUUCUCAGCCUCAUCUACUUUGGAUACCUAAUAGGCAUCUUAAUAUGUCAUGUCUAAAAAGGAACUUAUGUUUUCUCCGUCCCAAUAUACACUGUCCCUUUCCCAAAUCUUCCCCAUCUCAGUAAAUGGCAAUCCCAUCUUUCUAGUUUGCUUAGGCCAAAGAAUCUUACAGUCAAUUUGAUUUUUCUCUUUCUUACCACAAACUCAAUGCACCAGCAAAUCCUAUUAGCUUUACGUUCAAAAUAUACGAUACCCCGAAUCUGACCACUUCUCACCACUUUCCACUUCUGCUUUCUUCCAGGUUACUCUCAUCUGGAUUAUUGUAGUCACCUUGUCACUGGUAUCUCUGCUUUCUCCUAACCCCCAUCUAAUCUCCAAAAAAUCAGAGCAUGUCACUCCUGGCCCCCAAAUCCCCCCAGUGACUCCGCCCUCCCCACCCUGCUCAGAAUUAAAGUCAAUGAUCUUUUUUUUUUUUUUUUUUGAGAUGGAUUCUUGUGCUGUCACCCAGGCUGGAGUGCAGUAAGUAGUGUGAUCUCAGCUCACUGCAGCCUCCGCCUCCCAGAUUCAAGCGAUUCUCCUGCCUUAGCCUCCUGAGUAGUUGGGAUUACAGGUGCGCACAAUGCCUGGCUAAUUUUUAUAUUGUUAAUAGAGUUGGGGUUUCACCAUGUUGGCCAAGCUGGUCUUGAACUCCUGACCUCAGGUGAUCCACCCACCUUGGCCUCGCAAAGUACUGGGAUUACAGGCAUGAGCCACCAUGCCCAGCCUAAAGUCAAUUAUCUCACCACAGACCACAAGGCUACUUUGAUCCAACCAGCCCAUCUUAUAUACUACCACUUUCCUGUUUUCUCACAGUGCUCCAAUCACACUGGCCUUCUUUCUGGACUUCAAACAUGCCAAAUAUACUCUCCUUGAGGGACAUAGCACUUACUGCUACCUUUGUUUGGAAUGUUCUUUCCCAGAUACCCAUGUGGCACACCCAAAUGCUUGAGUGGCCCCUUAUUAGUGAGGCCUUCCUAUAGCAUUAUAUAUAAGAUGGAUAUAAGGUAGGACUCAGAACAUACUCCCUAUCCUCCUUACUCUACUUCACCUGACUCCAAACACUGUCACCACCUGACGUAGUACAUAUUUUAUUUUUUAUUUGUUUAGCAUCUGUCUGCCUCUAACUAGAAUGCAAGCUCCAUGAGGACAGAGAUUUUUGUUUUGUUUACCGCCAUAUUGUCAGCAGCUAGAGCAAUGUCUGGCAUGUAGUAGCACUCAAUGAAUAUUAAUUGAAUAAAUGAGCUACCUAAAAAAUAACUGCAUUGAUAUCAUAACCCAAGUAGUGUCUGAAAUAAUGUAAUGAAUUACCAGAAUGCAAAUGAAUUAUUUUCCAGAUGUCUUUAAGUUGGGUGUUGGAAAGUCAAUAUGCAUUUUUCCUACAAAUAUAAAGUAAGUGCUGUUAUUAUCCCCAUCUUAUGGAUAAGACAUCUGAUAUUUAGCUUAUGCAACUAUGCCUGUUUUCUGAUUUUGAGGCAUGUACCUCACCACUUAUACUAAAUUUCCAGGUCAGAUCAUAAAACCUUACGUAAGCCAUAAAAUUCAGAUAUAAAGUAGUCUAAAAAAAGGAAGGACCAGAAUGGAAGAUACCUAUCUUACACACAAACAGCUGUAUCUAGAGUAUAGGCUUCUUAGCUUUCUAGAUGUUUCACCCAGUUAUAGCUGUUCUUUGAUAGUGAUACAGUGAUAGAGGCAGGAGGCAGAGAAAUUCUAGGCAGAUGGGAAGAUCCCUGGCAAAGCACCACCCUAAAGCUGAAAAGCUUGAAACCACUGCCUAAAGUGAGAACUUAUAUUCCCGUUUUCCUGCUUGAAUGUUGUCUUUUCCUAAACUACCCAUAGCCUGCCCCACCCUAUCUUGUGCCUAUAAAGACCCCAGACUCAGCCAGCAGAGGGGAGAAACAGCUGGACAUCAGAGAGAAGCAGCCGGACUUCAGAGGGACAGCUUGAUGACAUAACUUUGGAGAAGAAUGCAGCCAGAGAUGGGUGGACUCCAGGGAAAGAUUACCUGCCGCCCCACCCUCUUUUCAGCUCCCCUUCCUGCUGAGAGCCACUUUCAUCGGCAAUAAAAUACACUGCAU